GUUGUACUCCCUCCGUUCGGAAUUACUCGUCCAAGAAAUGAAUGUAUCUAGUUGUGGAUACUUAGAUACAUUCAUUUCUUGGACGAGUAAUUCCGAACGGAGGGAGUACAUC
Molecule: non-coding RNA, 112 nt
Organism: Triticum aestivum (bread wheat)
Lineage: Eukaryota; Viridiplantae; Streptophyta; Magnoliopsida; Poales; Poaceae
Source: Rfam